Molecule: small RNA, 1901 nt
Filed under: Oryza sativa Japonica Group (Japanese rice)
Lineage: Eukaryota; Viridiplantae; Streptophyta; Magnoliopsida; Poales; Poaceae
Description: sRNA Os06g0104050
Source: RNAcentral
CCUUGUUCCGUCUUGUGUUCCAACAAGCUGUCCCAGCGGCUUUUCAGGAUCUCGUAUGCGUCUGAACAUGGAAGUGCGAUUACACGGGAGCCGCCGUCAGUUGGCAGCUCAAUCACCAGCCCCAGACGCAAUAGUGUCUCCAUAGCUUUGUCAAUAGGCAUUUCGAUCUUCGCCUUAAAUUUCUCGUACAUAAACUGCUCACAUGUAUCUCUGAUGCUUACACGAGAUGACACCUGCAUGGGGUUAGCUAGGAAAAGCGAUUAGUGACAUGACUGAAUCUCACCUGUUGUUGCUCAGAAGCGUCAAGGAGAAAAUAAACUGAACCAAAUCCACUUGCUAAUGUCUUCUCAUAGAGCGUUUUAUUGACCAGAAGCUGGUAUCUAUCCCUAGUUUGUUUGUAACCCAGCGCCACACGGAACACAAGUAUUGCUAGUGCAGUAAAGGCAACUAUAUCAAGAAGAAAAGCUUACGGAGAUGAGGCUAAACUCUCAAAUUUGUAGUUCACGACAUAAGCCAACAAACCUAUUACGGUAGCAAUAUCCAACCUUACCUGUGUUAGGGAAGAAAAACAUAACUAUAGAUACUCAGCACACUUACUGGCAGAUCAGGGAUGGGGAUCCUUUCAAAAAUUUUCAGUUGCAAUGGCAUCAUGUCUGAUUUUUCUCUCUCUUUGCUUUGAUCAGCCUCAUCAGUAUAAAGUAGGAUCAGUUCUUGGAAUGCUGAUACCUGAAGAGUAGACUUCCCAAAUAAAACACCAAAAGAAGCUUUUGUUAUCUCCCAGAGAUUGUUGUUACAAGAUUCUCUGCUUGCUGGCGCCCAUAUAUUUGCAAGUGUUAUUCUUGGCAGAAAAUUUGGCCUCACAUAGCCUUCAAGAUCUUUUGUAUCGAUAUCUGACUUUAUUGUUGCUUCUGGCAGAGAAGGGAUUAAACCAGUCCAAGCAAGCAAUCUUCUUAGAAGUCUGCCACGAGGACCAACUGGUGACAGGAUUCCUUCGUAACGAGAGACUGCCCUUUGAGCAGCAAUCCAAAUAGGAAGAUCAGCAUCCGGUAAUUGAUCAGAUCUAAGUUUAUCCCAUGAAGAGUUCUCAAUCAACGAAAGCGAAUUCUCCGCAUAGGUUUGCUCUUUAAGCCAGACUUUAAGUUUUUCAAUCCAGAUCUGAAAUCCCUCAUUCCCUGAUGGAAAGAUUAACUGACCUCAUUGAGCCAUUUCCCCAGCUUCCUCAAGGGCUUGGAGAAGCCAAAGAAGAUAUUUUGCAAGAGUUUAGACUGUAGGUAAUCAAGCUUUUCAACCAACAGUAGGCCCUUCUGCCUCUCCGUUGCAUACCCACGCCUGUGAAGAAAAAGGCAUUGGACUCAGCUGCCUUUUUCCAAUCGACAUAAAUGGGCAAAGUCAAGAGGUAAUCGGUGUUUAGGGCGUAUGUCAAGAGCAGGUCUUGCGCAGAGAGCUCUUCAAAUUGAGCAUUGCGCAGAAGGUUCAUGAAGGAGCGCUGGAAAUGAGUUGCAAAAGCAAUUCUGGAAACAAGUGCGUGUUGAGUUGAGUUAUCAGCAUAGGCACAGUAUAUAGUACUAGUAAGUGGAAGUGAAGAGGAUCCGAUUAAUUGUUACCUGUUCCGUUGUCUGUAAUGCCAAAAAAACCAGCAGUGGUGUUGGCGUUGCCGUUGAGCACGGAUUGGUCAUCGUCAUCGUCAUCAGCGGCAGCGGUGUGUUGGUGAUGGUUGUGGGUGAGCAUGUAAUAGGUUCGCAUUUCCUCGAGCAUCUCCUUGUGCUCUGCGUGGAGGAGGGCGUCCAGGCAUCUGCCAUGCAUAGGGAGUGGGAGGUUGGGAUGGGAAGAGGGAGAGGAGAGCGUCGAGGAGGGCGGGCUUGGAGACGGCGAUGUAGCGUUGGCGCGGGACGUGGAUGCCG